GAUGAAGAACGUAGCAAAAUGCGAUAAGUAAUGUGAAUUGCAGAAUUCAGUGAAUCAUCGAGUCUUUGAACGCACAUUGCGCCCGCCAGUAUUCUGGCGGGCAUGCCUGUUCGAGCGUCAUUUCAACCCUCAAGCACAGCUUGGUGUUGGGACUCGCGUUAAUUCGCGUUCCCCAAAUUGAUUGGCGGUCACGUCGAGCUUCCAUAGCGUAGUAGUAAAACCCUCGUUACUGGUAAUCGUCGCGGCCACGCCGUUAAACCCCAACUUCUGAAUGUUGACCUCGGAUCAGGUAGGAAUACCCGCUGAACUUAAGCAUAUCAAUAAGCGGAGGA
RNAcentral lists this unclassified non-coding RNA (332 nucleotides) under soil metagenome. RNAcentral describes it as "partial contains 5.8S ribosomal RNA, internal transcribed spacer 2, and large subunit ribosomal RNA". The stretch from base 1 to 120 matches the Rfam family "5.8S ribosomal RNA", at positions 35 to 154 of the family's 154-position model. The record is from RNAcentral.